CAGUCGCCACGGUAAUACGGAGGGUGCAAGCGUUAAUCGGAAUUACUGGGCGUAAAGCGCACGCAGGCGGUCUGUCAAGUCAGAUGUGAAAUCCCCGGGCUUAACCUGGGAACUGCAUUUGAAACUGGCAGGCUAGAGUCUUGUAGAGGGGGGUAGAAUUCCAGGUGUAGCGGUGAAAUGCGUAGAGAUCUGGAGGAAUACCGAUGGCGAAGGCAGCCAUCUGGCCUAAUACUGACGCUGAGGUACGAAAGCAUGGGGAGCAAACAGGAUUAGAUACCCCUGUAGUCCCUGUCUCUUAUAC
Molecule: ribosomal RNA, 301 nt
Filed under: uncultured bacterium
Lineage: Bacteria
Description: partial 16S ribosomal RNA
Rfam family: Bacterial small subunit ribosomal RNA
Source: RNAcentral